Molecule: ribosomal RNA, 1469 nt
Filed under: uncultured bacterium
Lineage: Bacteria
Description: bacterial SSU rRNA
Rfam family: Bacterial small subunit ribosomal RNA
Source: RNAcentral
AGAGUUUGAUCCUGGCUCAGAUUGAACGCUGGCGGCAGGCCUAACAUAUGCAAGUCGAGCGGAAACGACACUAACAAUCCUUCGGGUGCGUUAAUGGGCGUCGAGCGGCGGACGGGUGAGUAAUGCCUAGGAAAUUGCCUUGAUGUGGGGGAUAACCACUGGAAACGAUGGCUAAUACCGCAUAAUGCCUACGGGCCAAAGAGGGGGAUCUUCGGACCUCUCGCGUCAAGAUAUGCCUAGGUGGGAUUAGAUAGUUGGUGGGGUAACGGCCUACCAAGUCUACGAUCUAUAGCUGGUUUUAGAGGAUGAUCAGCAACACUGGGGCUGAGACACGGCCCAGACUCCUACGGGAGGCAGCAGUGGGGAAUCUUAGACAAUGGGCGCAAGCCUGAUCUAGCCAUGCCGCGUGUGUGAUGAAGGCCUUAGGGUCGUAAAGCACUUUCGCUAGGGAUGAUAAUGACAGUACCUAGUAAAGAAACCCCGGCUAACUCCGUGCCAGCAGCCGCGGUAAUACGGAGGGGGUUAGCGUUGUUCGGAAUUACUGGGCGUAAAGCGUACGUAGGCGGAUCAGAAAGUAGGGGGUGAAAUCCCGAGGCUCAACCUCGGAACUGCCUCCUAAACUCCUGGUCUUGAGUUCGAGAGAGGUGAGUGGAAUUCCAAGUGUAGAGGUGAAAUUCGUAGAUAUUUGGAGGAACACCAGUGGCGAAAGCGGCUCACUGGCUCGAUACUGACGCUGAGGUACGAAAGUGUGGGGAGCAAACAGGAUUAGAUACCCUGGUAGUCCACACCGUAAACGAUGAAUGCCAGUCGUCGGGUAGCAUGCUAUUCGGUGACACACCUAACGGAUUAAGCAUUCCGCCUGGGGAGUACGGUCGCAAGAUUAAAACUCAAAGGAAUUGACGGGGGCCCGCACAAGCGGUGGAGCAUGUGGUUUAAUUCGAAGCAACGCGCAGAACCUUACCAACCCUUGACAUCCUGUGCCACUACCAGAGAUGGUACGUUCCCUUCGGGGACGCAGUGACAGGUGCUGCAUGGCUGUCGUCAGCUCGUGUCGUGAGAUGUUCGGUUAAGUCCGGCAACGAGCGCAACCCACAUCUUUAGUUGCCAGCAGUUCGGCUGGGCACUCUAAAGAAACUGCCCGUGAUAAGCGGGAGGAAGGUGUGGAUGACGUCAAGUCCUCAUGGCCCUUACGGGUUGGGCUACACACGUGCUACAAUGGCAGUGACAAUGGGUUAAUCCCAAAAAGCUGUCUCAGUUCGGAUUGGGGUCUGCAACUCGACCCCAUGAAGUCGGAAUCGCUAGUAAUCGCGUAACAGCAUGACGCGGUGAAUACGUUCCCGGGCCUUGUACACACCGCCCGUCACACCAUGGGAGUUGGUUCUACCCGACGACGCUGCGCUAACCUUCGGGGGGCAGGCGGCCACGGUAGGAUCAGCGACUGGGGUGAAGUCGUAACAAGGUAACCGUAA